Molecule: ribosomal RNA, 119 nt
Filed under: Aotus nancymaae (Ma's night monkey)
Lineage: Eukaryota; Metazoa; Chordata; Mammalia; Primates; Aotidae
Source: RNAcentral
UUUUACAGAUCUACAGUUGGCCAACAUUGUUAGAGUAAGUUAGAUCAAAUUUAGAAACAAUUCGGGCCUGGUUAGUACUUGGAUGGGAGACUGCCUGGGAAUACUGGGUGCUGUAAGCU